UACGUAGGGUGCGAGCGUUAAUCGGAAUUACUGGGCGUAAAGCGUGCGCAGGCGGUUUUGUAAGCCAGAUGUGAAAUCCCCGGGCUUAACCUGGGAAUGGCAUUUGGGACUGCAAGGCUGGAGUGUGGCAGAGGAGACUGGAAUUCCCGGUGUAGCAGUGAAAUGCGUAGAUAUCGGGAGGAACACCGGUGGCGAAGGCGGGUCUCUGGGCCGUAACUGACGCUGAGGAGCGAAAGCAUGGGGAGCGAACAGG
RNAcentral lists this ribosomal RNA (253 nucleotides) under uncultured bacterium. RNAcentral describes it as "partial 16S ribosomal RNA". It matches the Rfam family "Bacterial small subunit ribosomal RNA", at positions 524 to 776 of the family's 1533-position model. The record is from RNAcentral.